This 700-nucleotide long non-coding RNA is filed under the name Lepisosteus oculatus (spotted gar). RNAcentral's name for it is "lncRNA (ENSLOCG00000021867.1)". Lineage: Eukaryota; Metazoa; Chordata; Actinopteri; Semionotiformes; Lepisosteidae. The record is from RNAcentral.
AAAAACAAGAAUAUUCACCACCAAUGAGAAACCCUUUGGAUCUUGUCCAGCUGUUUCUUCGACGACAUGGCUGGGUAGCACUGUGUGUAACGUAGUCACUCCUGUUGUGAUCCCAGGAUCUCUGCUUCCUGUAAGAAGCCCAGGCAUUGUCUUCAACACAAGACACAGGAGGAGGGGGAGAGGGGGCGGGCUGGGCCGUCCUGCUAGCUCUCUCCUUAGCAAAAUAGCGUCCUUGCACUGGGCUGGUUGCUCUGUUUGUCACCCGACCCAGGGUCUGUGGUCAACUCCGAGGGCAUCGCGGGUCAGCAGGGGAGCUCCGAGGAGGAGGAGGAAGAGGAGGAGGAGGAGGAGGAAGUGGGUGGGGGCGCCUCCAACGACAUCAAGAGCAAAGGGGACGACGACGACGACGACGAUGAUGAUGAUGAUGAUGAAGAUGACAGCGAUGAGAUCGAAGCUCUCCUGGCUCCGCAGGAAGAUCCCAAAACGUCUCCUGGUCAGACAGCCGAGGAAGAGGAGGAGAGCCGCUCCGGGAGGAAGGAGGGGUGCCCGCCGCCCGUCCCUGCCGCAGAGGAGCGCCCCGGGGGCACGCCGGACAGAUGGGGGUGCUGUAGCUCACAGUAACGGGGAGCUGCCAGGUCCCACCAGCACCAGGGAAUGAGAGGCAAGUGAACACCUGUUCACCACCAUCCACAUGUACCAU